This 1687-nucleotide ribosomal RNA is filed under the name Escherichia coli. RNAcentral describes it as "partial 23S ribosomal RNA". It matches the Rfam family "Bacterial large subunit ribosomal RNA", at positions 419 to 2091 of the family's 2925-position model. The record is from RNAcentral. Lineage: Bacteria; Pseudomonadati; Pseudomonadota; Gammaproteobacteria; Enterobacterales; Enterobacteriaceae.
GGGACACGUGGUAUCCUGUCUGAAUAUGGGGGGACCAUCCUCCAAGGCUAAAUACUCCUGACUGACCGAUAGUGAACCAGUACCGUGAGGGAAAGGCGAAAAGAACCCCGGCGAGGGGAGUGAAAAAGAACCUGAAACCGUGUACGUACAAGCAGUGGGAGCCUCUUAAUGGGGUGACUGCGUACCUUUUGUAUAAUGGGUCAGCGACUUAUAUUCUGUAGCAAGGUUAACCGAAUAGGGGAGCCGAAGGGAAACCGAGUCUUAACUGGGCGUUAAGUUGCAGGGUAUAGACCCGAAACCCGGUGAUCUAGCCAUGGGCAGGUUGAAGGUUGGGUAACACUAACUGGAGGACCGAACCGACUAAUGUUGAAAAAUUAGCGGAUGACUUGUGGCUGGGGGUGAAAGGCCAAUCAAACCGGGAGAUAGCUGGUUCUCCCCGAAAGCUAUUUAGGUAGCGCCUCGUGAAUUCAUCUCCGGGGGUAGAGCACUGUUUCGGCAAGGGGGUCAUCCCGACUUACCAACCCGAUGCAAACUGCGAAUACCGGAGAAUGUUAUCACGGGAGACACACGGCGGGUGCUAACGUCCGUCGUGAAGAGGGAAACAACCCAGACCGCCAGCUAAGGUCCCAAAGUCAUGGUUAAGUGGGAAACGAUGUGGGAAGGCCCAGACAGCCAGGAUGUUGGCUUAGAAGCAGCCAUCAUUUAAAGAAAGCGUAAUAGCUCACUGGUCGAGUCGGCCUGCGCGGAAGAUGUAACGGGGCUAAACCAUGCACCGAAGCUGCGGCAGCGACACUAUGUGUUGUUGGGUAGGGGAGCGUUCUGUAAGCCUGUGAAGGUGUGCUGUGAGGCAUGCUGGAGGUAUCAGAAGUGCGAAUGCUGACAUAAGUAACGAUAAAGCGGGUGAAAAGCCCGCUCGCCGGAAGACCAAGGGUUCCUGUCCAACGUUAAUCGGGGCAGGGUGAGUCGACCCCUAAGGCGAGGCCGAAAGGCGUAGUCGAUGGGAAACAGGUUAAUAUUCCUGUACUUGGUGUUACUGCGAAGGGGGGACGGAGAAGGCUAUGUUGGCCGGGCGACGGUUGUCCCGGUUUAAGCGUGUAGGCUGGUUUUCCAGGCAAAUCCGGAAAACCAAGGCUGAGGCGUGAUGACGAGGCACUACGGUGCUGAAGCGACAAAUGCCCUGCUUCCAGGAAAAGCCUCUAAGCAUCAGGUAACAUCAAAUCGUACCCCAAACCGACACAGGUGGUCAGGUAGAGAAUACCAAGGCGCUUGAGAGAACUCGGGUGAAGGAACUAGGCAAAAUGGUGCCGUAACUUCGGGAGAAGGCACGCUGAUAUGUAGGUGAAGCGACUUGCUCGUGGAGCUGAAAUCAGUCGAAGAUACCAGCUGGCUGCAACUGUUUAUUAAAAACACAGCACUGUGCAAACACGAAAGUGGACGUAUACGGUGUGACGCCUGCCCGGUGCCGGAAGGUUAAUUGAUGGGGUUAGCGGUAACGCGAAGCUCUUGAUCGAAGCCCCGGUAAACGGCGGCCGUAACUAUAACGGUCCUAAGGUAGCGAAAUUCCUUGUCGGGUAAGUUCCGACCUGCACGAAUGGCGUAAUGAUGGCCAGGCUGUCUCCACCCGAGACUCAGUGAAAUUGAACUCGCUGUGAAGAUGCAGUGUACCCGCGGCAAGACGGAAAGACCC